RNAcentral lists this ribosomal RNA (832 nucleotides) under Mammomonogamus sp. 1 BC-2018. Its description in RNAcentral is "eukaryotic LSU rRNA". It matches the Rfam family "Eukaryotic large subunit ribosomal RNA", at positions 116 to 909 of the family's 3401-position model. The record is from RNAcentral. Lineage: Eukaryota; Metazoa; Nematoda; Chromadorea; Rhabditida; Syngamidae.
GAAUCUCUCGAUGUUACAUCGUUGAGAAAUGUAGCGUAUAGAUGUGGUUAUCAGUUUGUGCUACAUGUCCAAAGUCCCUUUGAUAGGGGCCACAUUCCUGAGAGGGUGCGAGACCUGUGCGGGCAGUGGAGCAAGCUGUACGGCUAUGUCUUGGAGUCGGGUUGCUUGAAAGUGCAGCCUAAAGUUGGUGAUAAACUUCAUCUAAGGCUAAAUAUAGACACGAAUUCGAUAGCAAACAAGUACUGUGAAGGAAAGUUGCAAAGAACUUUGAAGAGAGAGUUCAAGAGAACGUGAAAUCGCUGCUGUGGAACCGGAGAGAGUUGACGUAGUCGGGUAACUAAAAUCACCAGAGUCGCUUAAAUGUGACCGAGGUGUUUCUACGUUGCCUAUGACUGCGCUGACAGCACUGGUUGUGCGCGUUCCAAACCGUAAUUUCCGUUGCCCAACGUUUUACUACGGUGGUGUCUUGUUUACGGAUAGGUUUGUCGCGGCUAGUGUUUUAUCCUGCUUAAAGCGCAGGGUGUCAGUGUGAAAGUCGACCACCUCUCCGACCCGUCUUGAAACACGGACCGAGGAGUGUAAUUUGUACGCGAGUCAAAGGGUGGAAAACCCCACGGCGAAAUGAAAGUAAAGGUCGGUUAACUGGCUGACAUGGGAUCCGCGUUUCUCAAAGCGGCGCACCAUGGCCCUGUCUCGUCUGCUUGCAGAUGGGCAGCGGUAGAGCGUACAGAUUGCGACCCGAAAGAUGGUGAACUAUGCCUGAGCAGGGUGAAGUCAGUGGAAACUCUGGUGGAAGUCCGUAUCGGUUCUGACGUGCAAAUCGAUCGAUAGA